AAAAUAACCAACCUACAGUUCACUAUUCUCAUUUUAUUAUUCUACUAUACUAGCAUAUAUAAAACAUAAUAGAAAACAAAGAUAAAAUUACCCAGAACAAUUUAUGAUUCCAUUUACUUUUAAGUAUAAAAUUUGAAAUAUAACCAUGUUUGGAAUUAUCUCUUCAUGUCUUUAAAUUUGUAAAUUAAAAAAAUUAAAUAAAUCUGUUUUUAUGAUUUGUAAUUAUUAUUAACUUUUGUUUGAAAUAAUGAACUGUGCAUACAUUUCUCCCUUUAAUUAUAAAUUUCCAAUAAUUUCACAAGAAUAUCAUAAAUAUUGGUCAGGAUUGGACCAGGCGAAAAAUAUACAGAAUAAUUGACGCAAACAAUUAAGAAUAGAGAAAAAUAAACAAACGUUAUAAAGAAUAGAGCAAAUUUAACAAAAAUUAUAAUGAAUAGAUAUUAAUGGACAAGAAAAAUUUUAGAAUACAGAAAUGAAGUCCGGCUUCAUCUAGAUCUAUAUACAUCUGUUACUAAAGUUGAGUCCAAUAAUACAUGUCUUUAAGGAGGGUCAUAACUGAGGUUCCUACAUGAUGUUUUUUUUAAAUGGUAAAAAAAUCUUGCCAAAUAAUGUUAAUGGUAGUUUUUGGUGCACGACAAUCAAAAGUACACUUUCUCUUAAGGUGGUACCCAACACUUUCACUAAAAUCAAUCUGGCUCGUUUAAUUUUCAUAAAAUUUUGUCAAAGUAUUUACUUUGACACUUUAACAAAAAUAUAAAAAUUUAAAAAAUUUUGAACCAACCGUUUUGUCAGAAAAAUUACACUGGGUAUAUAGCAAUUUGACAACCACCAAUUUUGAUCAUUGAGAAACUAAAUAUUCCUUUCACAACACAACGUAAUUAAAACGUUUAGCUGACUUUACAGAGUUAUCUCCCUGUAGUGUUAGGUACCACCUUAGGAUGAUAAAACAAGAUUCUUUUUGACAAAUCACUAACAGUGACAUAUAAUUAUUUGAGACCUCUAACAAAUCACAAUAAGGACAUUUUGACAAAAUACAAUAACAUUUUAACCAAUUUGAUGCUAACCGCAGGCAAAAUAUGACCAUUUGACAUCUGACGGUAAAGGACAUUCAUACCCUCUGUAAAUACCUUUUCUUGAAAUGCAAACAAAAAUAGAAAUUCUAACAUCCAGCAGGGACACUGAUAAUGUCUAUACUAAAACUACACAUAACCACAAGUAAUAACAAAAGAAUAUAAAAAAUUAUAAUAUACACAAGCAUGAUUAAAGAAAUAUUAAAACUUAAAUAUUAAAGCAUAAUGUCCAGACUGUUAAUAAUAACUUGCUGCUCAUCUUAAUCUAAGCACUUACAGCUUU
RNAcentral lists this long non-coding RNA (1353 nucleotides) under Mytilus galloprovincialis (Mediterranean mussel). Lineage: Eukaryota; Metazoa; Mollusca; Bivalvia; Mytilida; Mytilidae. The record is from RNAcentral.